GCUGAUUGAACCAUUAGUUGUUCUCCCUUUUCAUUACAGUGGCCGGGUCUGGCUGUUAGGCUGACUAGAUUGAAGAUGUACAUAAAUACCAAAAUGUAACCAAAGCCAACACCAUAUCAUUGGAAGCAUAGACUAACUAAUGAGACCUCCAUACUAGUCAGUUUUUCCACUAUAGAUUCCAAACCCUCAGUGCAGAUAAAGGAAACAUUAAGAAACAAGGCAACAAGAUACCUCCAAAAAUUCUGAACACUGUAAAAGCUGAUCUCACGGAUGAUGGCACUGUCCCUUGCCAAAGACUGUUCCAGCCACUAGAAACCAGGAACCCAACCAGAUGCACUAAAGCCCCUGCCCCGGGGGAGCCUGCAGUCCAACAGCAACCACCAAAGGAGCAAGUUAAGGAACGUGCAGAGAAAGAACACAGAGUCGGGAAUCUGAAGCUACUUGAGUUCUGAGCAGCUGGGCCAGUGAGUGGAUGAAAUGCUGAUGGGCAGGGGAAGCCAUGUCAGCCCUGUGUCUCCACAGCAAGCUGCCUAAGGAAAUUUGUCUGAGGAUGAAGCCAGCAACUGAAAACAAAUUAGAGAUGGAGGGACCGAGUCCGGGAUGUUGCUUGAGCCCUGUGUGCAGGACUGCGGAAGCCAGCUCUAGCCCCUUUGCAAGUCUUGCUUAUUGACUCUUGCUCUUAUGCCAGGAACUAGGAGGAGGGACCACAUGGAGAGAGGGGUAAAGGAGCAAACAAGGAGACGCUCAAAGAAAGUGGGGGACACAUGAGCAGACCCAGACACCACCUUGGAAAAGGCUGCCACUGGUAAAUCUAGG
This 816-nucleotide long non-coding RNA is filed under the name Heterocephalus glaber (naked mole-rat). RNAcentral describes it as "lncRNA (ENSHGLG00100051780.1)". The record is from RNAcentral. Lineage: Eukaryota; Metazoa; Chordata; Mammalia; Rodentia; Bathyergidae.